This 420-nucleotide unclassified non-coding RNA is filed under the name Amphiglossa thuja. Its description in RNAcentral is "partial external transcribed spacer". The record is from RNAcentral. Lineage: Eukaryota; Viridiplantae; Streptophyta; Magnoliopsida; Asterales; Asteraceae.
GAGUGGUGUUUGGUUUGUUACGGGUGGUUGGCUCUUUGCUUGCGCAACAACUUCCACCUGGCAUACCUCUUCAGUUUUGCGUCAAUGCUUGUAUUGCAUUGAAUCCAAAGUGGGUUUCCUGUGUUGCAUACCAAAUUGAUGGUAUCGUUUGAUGAAUUGAUGUCCCUUUUUCGUCUUGUGUCGCACAUGCGAUGUGAGAUGAACCUUGAAGCGCUCUUUGUGAUCCACUCUUUCGAUGCACGUGCGUUGAUGGUGUGGCUCAUUAAGUGUUGCUUGGUCUCAUGAAUAUAGAAGUUGUUGUGGGCAUGGGAUCUUAGUAUUCUUACUUGUUCCUUGUUUGCCUUGCUUUAGCUUCUCCAAUACGAUUUGACUAUCACGUAUGGCACGUCUCAGCGUGGUAGUCUAAUUCGAAGAUGAAUG